This 107-nucleotide small nuclear RNA is filed under the name Capra hircus (goat). The record is from RNAcentral. Lineage: Eukaryota; Metazoa; Chordata; Mammalia; Artiodactyla; Bovidae.
GCGCUCGCUUUGGCAGCACAUAUACUAAAAUUGGAAUGAUACAGAGAAGAUUAACAUGGCCCCUGCACAAGGAUGAUACGCAAAUUCGUGAAGCGUUCCAUAUUUUU